GUGGCUUAAUUCGAAGCAACGCGAAGAACCUUAUCCUGGGUUGAACUACGUCGGAUUAGCUCGCCGAAAAGCGAGUGACGCGGUUUACCGUGGAACGUCGAUAGGUGCUGCAUGGCUGUCGUCAGCUCGUGCUGUGAAGUGUAGGGUUAAGUCCCUUAACGAGCGCAACCCCUAUCGCUAGUUGCCAGCGCGUAAUGGCGGGGACUCUAGCGAGACUGCCGGUGUUAAACCGGAGGAAGGUGGGGACGACGUCAAGUCCGCAUGGCCUUUAUGCCCAGGGCUGCACACGUGCUACAAUGGCAGGUACAGAACGACGCAAUACCGCGAGGUGGAGCAAAUCGCUUAAAACCUGCCCAAGUUCGGAUAGUAGGCUGCAAUUCGCCUACUUGAAGUUGGAAUCGCUAGUAAUCGCGGAACAGCUACGCCGCGGUGAAUACGUUCCUGAGCCUUGUACACACCGCCCGUCAAGUCAUGGAAGCUGGUAGCGCCCGAAGUCGCCUCAACUCAGAGGUGCCCACGGUGAGACUGGUGACUGGGACUAAGUCGUAACAAGGUA
RNAcentral lists this ribosomal RNA (556 nucleotides) under uncultured deep-sea bacterium. RNAcentral describes it as "bacterial SSU rRNA". It matches the Rfam family "Bacterial small subunit ribosomal RNA", at positions 941 to 1498 of the family's 1533-position model. The record is from RNAcentral.